Molecule: non-coding RNA, 133 nt
Organism: Caldibacillus debilis
Lineage: Bacteria; Bacillati; Bacillota; Bacilli; Caryophanales; Bacillaceae
Source: Rfam
CAUACCUUUAAAACAGUCCCGCGAGGCUGGCAAGGUAAAUGAUAGAGGAAAAACGGGAAAGGGCAUGAUGCGCCCCUUUUCCCUGAAAACGAAAGGAGCGCCUUGCCGUCAGAACGGCAGGGCGCUUUUUUGA